ACGCUCGACACCUACGGAAGGCAGCAGUGGGGAAUAUUGCACAAUGGGGGAAACCCUGAUGCAGCGACGCCGCGUGAAGGAAGAAGUAUCUCGGUAUGUAAACUUCUAUCAGCAGGGAAGAAAGUGACGGUACCUGACUAAGAAGCCCCGGCUAACUACGUGCCAGCAGCCGCGGUAAUCUGAGCGGGCUGGCAAGGC
This 198-nucleotide ribosomal RNA is filed under the name uncultured bacterium. Its description in RNAcentral is "partial 16S ribosomal RNA". It matches the Rfam family "Bacterial small subunit ribosomal RNA", at positions 326 to 539 of the family's 1533-position model. The record is from RNAcentral.